Molecule: ribosomal RNA, 567 nt
Filed under: uncultured bacterium
Lineage: Bacteria
Description: bacterial SSU rRNA
Rfam family: Bacterial small subunit ribosomal RNA
Source: RNAcentral
GGAAUAUUGGACAAUGGGCGCAAGCCUGAUCCAGCCAUGCCGCGUGUGUGAAGAAGGCCUUCGGGUUGUAAAGCACUUUUAUCCGGAAAGAAAAGCGCUGGGUUAAUACCCUGGUGUCCUGACGGUACCGGAAGAAUAAGCACCGGCUAACUUCGUGCCAGCAGCCGCGGUAAUACGAAGGGUGCAAGCGUUACUCGGAAUUACUGGGCGUAAAGCGUGCGUAGGUGGUUUGUUAAGUCUGAUGUGAAAGCCCUGGGCUCAACCUGGGAAUUGCAUUGGAUACUGGCAGGCUAGAGUGCGGUAGAGGGUAGUGGAAUUCCCGGUGUAGCAGUGAAAUGCGUAGAGAUCGGGAGGAACAUCUGUGGCGAAGGCGACUACCUGGACCAGCACUGACACUGAGGCACGAAAGCGUGGGGAGCAAACAGGAUUAGAUACCCUGGUAGUCCACGCCCUAAACGAUGCGAACUGGAUGUUGGGCUCAACUUGGAGCUCAGUAUCGAAGCUAACGCGUUAAGUUCGCCGCCUGGGGAGUACGGUCGCAAGACUGAAACUCAAAGGAAUUGACGG